RNAcentral lists this ribosomal RNA (253 nucleotides) under uncultured bacterium. RNAcentral's name for it is "partial 16S ribosomal RNA". It matches the Rfam family "Bacterial small subunit ribosomal RNA", at positions 524 to 776 of the family's 1533-position model. The record is from RNAcentral.
UACGUAGGUGACCAGCGUUGUCCGGAUUUACUGGGCGUAAAGAGCGCGCAGGCGGUCGUUCAAGUCGAGUGUGAAAGCCCCCGGCUCAACUGGGGAGGGUCAUUCGAUACUGAUCGACUCGAAGGCAGGAGAGGGAAGCGGAAUUCCCGGUGUAGCGGUGGAAUGCGUAGAGAUCGGGAAGAACAUCGGUGGCGAAGGCGGCCUGCUGGGCUGUAGCUGACGCUGAGGCGCGACAGCGUGGGGAGCAAACAGG